RNAcentral lists this ribosomal RNA (1104 nucleotides) under Thalassiosira antarctica. RNAcentral's name for it is "partial Bacterial large subunit ribosomal RNA". It matches the Rfam family "Bacterial large subunit ribosomal RNA", at positions 1813 to 2925 of the family's 2925-position model. The record is from RNAcentral. Lineage: Eukaryota; Bacillariophyta; Thalassiosirophyceae; Thalassiosirales; Thalassiosiraceae.
ACACAGCACUGUGCAAACACGAAAGUGGACGUAUACGGUGUGACGCCUGCCCGGUGCCGGAAGGUUAAAUGAUGGGGUUAUCUUCGGAGAAGCUCUUGAUUGAAGCCCCGGUAAACGGCGGCCGUAACAAUAACGGUCCUAAGGUAGCGAAAUUCCUUGUCGGGUAAGUUCCGACCUGCACGAAUGGUGUAACGACUUGGGCACUGUCUCGGCCAUGAGCUCGGUGAAAUUGUGGUAUCGGUGAUGACGCCGAUUACCCGCAGCGGGACGAAAAGACCCCGUGAACCUUUACUACAACUUUACAUUGGCUUUAGCUGUCGCAUGUGUAGGAUAGGCGGGAGACUUUGAAGCGGCGUCGCCAGGCGUUGUGGAGUCACCCUUGAAAUACCGCCCUUGCCACAGGUGAAGUCUAACCCUUCCGGGGGAACAGUGUAUGGUGGGUAGUUUGACUGGGGCGGUCGCCUCCUAAAGAGUAACGGAGGCUCCCAAAGGUACCCUCAGCACGGAUGGCAAUCGUGCGUAGAGUGUAAAAGCAUAAGGGUGCUUGACUGCGAGACAUACAGGUCGAGCAGGCACGAAAGUGGGGUUUAGUGAUCCGGUGGCACCGCAUGGAAGGGCCAUCGCUCAAAGGAUAAAAGGUACUCCGGGGAUAACAGGCUGAUACCGCCCAAGAGUUCACAUCGACGGCGGUGUUUGGCACCUCGAUGUCGGCUCAUCACAUCCUGGGGCUGAAGCCGGUCCCAAGGGUAUGGCUGUUCGCCAUUUAAAGUGGUACGCGAGCUGGGUUUAGAACGUCGUGAGACAGUUCGGUCCCUAUCUGCCGUGGGCGUUGGAGAAUUGAGGGAAGCUGCUCCUAGUACGAGAGGACCGGAGUGGACGAACCCCUGGUGUUCCGGUUGUGUCGCCAGACGCAUUGCCGGGUAGCUACGUUCGGAAGGGAUAACCGCUGAAAGCAUCUAAGCGGGAAGCCCCUCCCAAGAUAAGUUCUCCCUGACCCCUUGAGGGUCCUGAAGGGCCGUAGAAGACUACUACGUUGAUAGGCUGGGUGUGGAAGCGUUGUGAGGCGUUGAGCUAACCAGUACUAAUUGCCCGUGAGGCUUGACC